This is an RNA transcript of Hippoglossus stenolepis (Pacific halibut), 180 nucleotides long. RefSeq lists it as uncharacterized. The record is from RefSeq and is a predicted model, not a curated record. The transcript has 3 exons. Lineage: Eukaryota; Metazoa; Chordata; Actinopteri; Pleuronectiformes; Pleuronectidae.
CCUCCUCCUCCUCCUCCUGCUCCUCCAUCCUCCUGCUCCUCCUCCUCCUCGCCUCCCUGAGCCGCUCCUCCUCUGAGCGGAGACUCGGUUGCCUGUUUGAGAGCGAGCUGUGUUCACCAUAUGAGAUCUGUGUGAACGAGCUGUAAUGGGGCUCAUCUUGAAGGGAACUGACUCAGCAUG